Long non-coding RNA from Caretta caretta (loggerhead turtle), 686 nucleotides. RefSeq lists it as uncharacterized. The record is from RefSeq and is a predicted model, not a curated record. Lineage: Eukaryota; Metazoa; Chordata; Testudines; Cheloniidae.
UCUUCAAGAGAGGAAAUUGUCAGGAAGAAAUAAACAACAGGACGGAAUCCGGUCACUGCUAAAGAUGAAGUGAGCUGUAGCUCACGAAAGCUGAUGCUCAGAUAAAUUGGUUAGUCCCUAAGGUGCCACAAGUCCUCCUUUUCUUUUUGCGGAUACAGACUAACACGGCUGCUACUCUGAAACCAGCUAAAGACAGUGGAUUGUUGGGGUAUAUCUGGGGCUGCACCCAUCCCUGGGUCAUUCGCCAAGGAGGCCAGCGAUAGCAAGGCUGUCUUGUGAACGGGAGACCCCAGCCUGGCCCGGCUGUAACACUUCGGACGUAUCUAAGUGCCCUGCGUGAAGCAAAGGACCGAGCUGGAGUGAAAGCAGGGGUGCACGGCUUCUCCGGGAGCCCGGAAUCUGUGACUACUAUGGCUCAGAAGAUAGCCUCUCCACCCCAAAGAGAUACCUGAAAGAAACUGGAACAAAGGAUAGUAACUACGGGGGUGUCAGUGAUUGCUGGACCCAGACUAGGAGGAAGUCUAGUCUGUAAAAGAAGCUUAUUGGAACAUCUCUGAGGGCGAGAUUUACCUGCAUUUAGUUUCCUACUGUAUUAGGCUUAGACUUGUGUGUUUUAUUUUAUUUUUGCUUAGUAAUUCACUUUGUUCUGUCAGUUACUACUUGAAACUACUUAAAUCCUACUUUCU